GGGGUCUGUUCGCCAGGUCAGCUGCCGAGCGCUGCAGUCAGCUGGGGCGGGGGAGCAUCCUUCUAUUCUAAAUCACCUCAAAUCCUCGUCCCGUGUAGGCGGUAAGAGACCGGAGCCUCUUCCCUACCAGGGACCUAAACUCUGCCCUCCGACUGGGUUAGUUCGCUUUCCUGCAUCCACUCUCUACCUCUCAUUUUAAGCCCCUUAUGCCUGGACGUUUCUCUCCUCGUAACUCAAGGUGAACAUGGUCUUCUGCAUCUUAGGCAUUAUCGUGAUGGCCACCACCAAUUCUCUCAUGUGGACGUUCUUUAGCCGGGGCCUCAGUUUCUCCAUGUCUUCGGCCAUUGCAUCUGUCACGGUGACUUUUUCAAACAUCCUCAGCUCGGUGAGUAGCCUGAGGGUACAGUCAGUACCCCUGUCCCAAACCUGGGUUCUGGGAGGGUCCCGGGUGAGUUGGGGAACCCACCCUCCCAGAUAGGAGGAAAGACAAGAGCUGAAGCAGAGAUUGGGCUGUGGCUUGAGCCCUGGUGGCUGCUCCUCUGAUCUCGAACUUGGUAGAAUCCUCAAGUGUUAGCUGGGAGUGAAGGCCAAGUGUAAAAAAAAAAAAAAGCCCACCUGCCUGCUGCCCCUUCAGGCUGCAGCCCUCAUGCUGAUGUCUCUGUAACCUCUGUGCAAGCUGUCUCCUAGGGGUCUGUAAACUUGAGCGUGAGACGUGGAGGGUGGACGCUCUUUCCUCCGACAGCCUGAUGUCAACCAGGUGGGGCUGAGCCCAGUCAGUCCUGCCGUCGAGGGAGGGAGGACGUGGCAGGCCUGUUUGGAUCAGCAAACACCAGGCGCCAGCUGUGUGCUGGGCCUUCGCUGCUGGCCUCUGCGAAUCUUUCUUGUGCACUUUGCUCGGGGCCAAUGCUGCAAGGAAGGUACACUCCCCCCACCUCUCCGGGCGAGCCAGAAAUGGAUAGUGCCUUGCGGAAGGUGACAGCUGGGUUUCAGGCUCCAGACCUCCAGCUCCAGACCUUUCCUCCUGCCCCGGGAGGGAAGUCAGGCACGGGGGGAGUGAGGUUGUGCCUGCCCGCUGUGGUCAAGUCCUGCGGGCACGUGUCUACUUGGCCUCACAGCGGUCUCUGUCCCACAGGCCUUCCUGGGCUUUGUGUUGUAUGGAGAGUGCCAGGAGGUCUUGUGGUGGGGAGGUGUGUUCCUCAUCCUGUGCGGACUCAGCCUGAUCCAC
RNA transcript from Lynx canadensis (Canada lynx), 1225 nucleotides. It is a transcript of the gene named transmembrane protein 42, with no coding region annotated. The record is from RefSeq and is a predicted model, not a curated record. The transcript has 2 exons. Lineage: Eukaryota; Metazoa; Chordata; Mammalia; Carnivora; Felidae.